This 884-nucleotide ribosomal RNA is filed under the name Hepatozoon canis. Its description in RNAcentral is "SSU rRNA". It matches the Rfam family "Eukaryotic small subunit ribosomal RNA", at positions 143 to 1015 of the family's 1831-position model. Lineage: Eukaryota; Apicomplexa; Hepatozoidae. The record is from RNAcentral.
AUAACCGUGGUAAUUCUACAGCUAAUACAUGAGCAAAAUCUCAACUUUAUUAGAAGAGAAGCAUUUAUUAGAUAAAAAGCCAAUGCAUGCUUUUACAGUAUGAAAAUUGGUGAUUUAUAAUAACUUAGCAAAUCGUAAAGUGAAAACAGACGAUAAAUCAUUCAAGUUUCUGACCUAUCAGCUUUCGACGGUAUGGUAUUGGCUUACCGUGGCAGUGACGGUUAACGGGGGAUUAGGGUUCGAUUCCGGAGAGGGAGCCUGAGAAACGGCUACCACAUCUAAGGAAGGCAGCAGGCGCGCAAAUUACCCAAUUCUAACAGUUUGAGAGAGGUAGUAACAAGAAAUAACAAUACAAGGCAGUUAAAAUGCUUUGUAAUUGGAAUGAUAGAAAUUUAAACCCUUUUUAAAGUAUCAAUUGGAGGGCAAGUCUGGUGCCAGCAGCCGCGGUAAUUCCAGCUCCAAUAGCGUAUAUUAAAAUUGUUGCAGUUAAAAAGCUCGUAGUUGAAGUUCUGCUAAAAGUAACCGGUCUGCUUUUAAUAAAAGUGGUAUCUUGGUAUGUAUUUAGCAAUGAUGUCCUUUGAAGUGUUUUUUACUUUAUUGUAAUAAAGCAUAUUCAGGACUUUUACUUUGAGAAAAUUAGAGUGUUUCUAGCAGGCCGACGCUUUGAAUACUGCAGCAUGGAAUAAUAAGAUAGGAUUUUAGUUCUACAUUGUUGGUUUUAAGAGCUAAAUUAAUGAUUGAUAGGGACAGUUGGGGGCAUUUGUAUUUAACUGUCAGAGGUGAAAUUCUUAGAUUUGUUAAAGACAAACUACUGCGAAAGCAUUUGCCAAAGAUGUUUUCAUUAAUCAAGAACGAAAGUUAGGGGAUCGAAGACGAUCAGAUAC